ACCGGGCAUGGUGGCGUAUGCCUGUAGUCCCAGCUACUUGGGAGGUGGAGACAGGAGAAGCGCUUGAAUCCAGGAGGCAGAGGUUGCAGUGAGCUGAGAUUGCACCACUGCACUUCCGCCUGGGUGACAGAGCGAGACUCUGUCUUAA
This 148-nucleotide small RNA is filed under the name Callithrix jacchus (white-tufted-ear marmoset). RNAcentral describes it as "Metazoan signal recognition particle RNA (ENSCJAG00000087097.1)". The record is from Rfam by way of RNAcentral. Lineage: Eukaryota; Metazoa; Chordata; Mammalia; Primates; Cebidae.